AUUGCUGCUCGAAACGGAAUAACACUAGACGACGGUGGAUGACGGGCGGCGCGGUAUUUUCGGUGUUGAUUCAGUGCCCGGGAAAACAAAUAAAUACUACGGGCCCGUCGGCGAGACCGUAUAAUAAACAAUAUAUGCUUCCCUUAACAUCCCCACUCGCAGCCGUCGUCGCCGCCGCGUGGUUCUCGUCGAUAAAGUGUUUGUGUUUAUGAGUUUUUCGAGGAAUUUCCGACGACAGCUAUAUUAUAGGUACCGGAUACAUCGAAGCUACAAAUUAUAUGUUAUACGGCCGUUGGUCGGUCGAUAUCC
Non-coding RNA from Cinara cedri, 309 nucleotides. The record is from the annotation of a GenBank genome assembly. Lineage: Eukaryota; Metazoa; Arthropoda; Insecta; Hemiptera; Aphididae.